AGAGUUUGAUCAUGGCUCAGAUUGAACGCUGGCGGCAUGCCUUACACAUGCAAGUCGAACGGCAGCACGGGGGCAACCCUGGUGGCGAGUGGCGAACGGGUGAGUAAUACAUCGGAACGUGUCCUGUAGUGGGGAUAGCCCGGCGAAAGCCGGAUUAAUACCGCAUACGAUCUACGGAAGAAAGCGGGGAUCCUUCGGGA
RNAcentral lists this ribosomal RNA (200 nucleotides) under uncultured bacterium. RNAcentral describes it as "partial 16S ribosomal RNA". It matches the Rfam family "Bacterial small subunit ribosomal RNA", at positions 8 to 225 of the family's 1533-position model. The record is from RNAcentral.